This 251-nucleotide ribosomal RNA is filed under the name uncultured prokaryote. RNAcentral describes it as "partial 16S rRNA". It matches the Rfam family "Bacterial small subunit ribosomal RNA", at positions 525 to 775 of the family's 1533-position model. The record is from RNAcentral.
ACGGAGGGUGCAAGCGUUGUCCGGAUUUAUUGGGCGUAAAGCACGUGCAGGCGGUCUGGUAUGUCGGGUGUGAAAUCCCGGGGCUUAACCCCGGAACUGCGCUCGAAACUGCCAGUCUUGAGUUCAGAAGGGGGAGAUGGAAUUUCCGGUGUAGGGGUGAAAUCCGUAGAUAUCAGGAGGAAUACCAGUGGCGAAGGCGAUAUCCUGGUCUGUUACUGACGCUCAGACGGGAAAGCGUGGGUAGCAAACAG